CAGAUUAAGCUUAUUAGGUAGGAAUUUCAUUUACAUUGAAUUUUGGGUUGUGCAAAUCAACAUAAUCUGA
Molecule: transfer RNA, 70 nt
Filed under: Centrocolumna evidens
Lineage: Eukaryota; Metazoa; Arthropoda; Insecta; Blattodea; Blattellidae
Description: tRNA-Val
Source: RNAcentral